Molecule: small nucleolar RNA, 135 nt
Filed under: Cervus elaphus hippelaphus
Lineage: Eukaryota; Metazoa; Chordata; Mammalia; Artiodactyla; Cervidae
Also listed under: 1 other name
Description: Small nucleolar RNA SNORA70
Rfam family: Small nucleolar RNA SNORA70
About the family: snoRNA U70 seems to be exclusive to mammals and is a member of the H/ACA class of snoRNA which contain H (ANANNA) and ACA box motifs.
Source: Rfam by way of RNAcentral
UUGCAGCCAAUUAAGCCGACUGUGCUCUUUUCCCCAUGGGGGCCCAGUGUGCAAUGGCUGCAAACAGCAGCCUCCUUGGUAGUGCAUGCAACCUGUUGCCUGUACAGGUAGCCCUAAGGGACCUUGGAGACAACU